UACGUAGGGUGCAAGCGUUGUCCGGAAUCACUGGGCGUAAAGGGUGCGUAGGCGGCGCGGUAAGUCGGGUGUGAAAUCUCGGAGCUUAACUCCGAAACUGCAUUCGAUACUGCCGUGCUUGAGGACUGGAGAGGAGACUGGAAUUUACGGUGUAGCGGUGAAAUGCGUAGAUAUCGUAAGGAAGACCAGUGGCGAAGGCGGGUCUCUGGACAGUUCCUGACGCUGAGGCACGAAGGUCAGGGGAGCAAACGGG
RNAcentral lists this ribosomal RNA (253 nucleotides) under uncultured bacterium. RNAcentral's name for it is "partial 16S ribosomal RNA". It matches the Rfam family "Bacterial small subunit ribosomal RNA", at positions 524 to 776 of the family's 1533-position model. The record is from RNAcentral.